Molecule: long non-coding RNA, 985 nt
Filed under: Brassica napus (rape)
Lineage: Eukaryota; Viridiplantae; Streptophyta; Magnoliopsida; Brassicales; Brassicaceae
Description: long non-coding RNA (BNAP_LNC003471)
Source: RNAcentral
UUAGGGUUUAGGGUUUAGAAAUGAAGGUUUAGGGUUUAGAGUUGAUAUUUUAGGGUUUCGGGUUAAUUUUUUAGGGUUUAGGGUUUAGAGUUGAAGUUUAGGAUUUAGGGUUUAGAGUUGAUGUUUUAGGGUUUAGAGUUGAAGGUUUUGGGUUUAGGGUUUAGAGUUGAUGUUUUGGAGUUUAGGGUUUAGAGUUGAUGUUUCAGGGUUUUAGGGUUUAUGUUUAGGGUUUAGAGUUGAAGGUUUAGGGUUCAGGGUUUAGAGUUGUUUUUUAGGGUUUAGGGUUAAUUUUUUAGGGUUUAGGGUUUAUUGAUUACUUUUUAUGGUUUAGGGUUGAUAGUUUAGGGUUUAGAGUUGAAGUUUAGGGUUUAGGGUUGAAGUGUAGGGUUUAGGGUUUAGAGUUGAUGUUUUAAAUACUUAUUUUUUAUAUAUACAAAGAACAAGGGCAUAAGAGUCUUUUGCCACUUAAUGAAGAAGAUAUUUUGGAAAAUGUCCGUUUAGUAUUGGUAAAAAAGAAAAGUGAUAGCAAAAAAGUGGUAAACAUAAAAAGUGAAUACAAUUAUUGUUUGGAUUAAUAAAAUUUAUUUAUAUAUUCGCACCAAUUUAAUUAUAUACGUAAUAGUUACUGACUUUUUAAUUAUUCAAUAUAUUUCCUAUAUAUUAAUCAUGAAGUAUUGGUUAAAUGACAAAUUUGAGAAUCAUCCUUAUAUUGCUCUUCAUGGAUUUUCCUAUUGAUGUAGAUGGAAGAGUGUUCAUCUUUUUCGCCUUUGUGUCUGCCCUGGUGUGUGGAGGUGGUUUUAGGGGUGCAAAACAUUUUAUAUAGGUGUCUCUAAACCUAGUUGGAGAGGGAAUAUUCUCCUGCUCCUGAAUUUUCGCUGCGGCGCGAAUGUCGAUCGAUGUUCCUGUAUGAGUGUUGAUCGAUGUGAGCGGUUGUUUUCCUGGACGAGGGUGGGUAUCGACAGAUGUGGAGUGUACUUCGGCGAUC